RNAcentral lists this ribosomal RNA (253 nucleotides) under uncultured bacterium. RNAcentral describes it as "partial 16S ribosomal RNA". It matches the Rfam family "Bacterial small subunit ribosomal RNA", at positions 524 to 776 of the family's 1533-position model. The record is from RNAcentral.
UACGUAGGGUGCGAGCGUUAAUCGGAAUUACUGGGCGUAAAGCGUGCGCAGGCGGUUUUGUAAGACAGAUGUGAAAUCCCCGGGCUUAACCUGGGAACUGCAUUUGUGACUGCAAGACUUGAGUACGGCAGAGGGGGGUGGAAUUCCACGUGUAGCGGUGAAAUGCGUAGAGAUGUGGAGGAACACCGAUGGCGAAGGCAGCCACCUGGGCUAACACUGACGCUCAGGCACGAAAGCGUGGGGAGCAAACAGG